AGGCCGCAACUCGCCUGCAUGAACUUGGAGCUGCUAGUAACCGCAGGUCAGCAUACUGCGGUGAAUACGUUCUCGGGCCUUGUACACACCGCCCGUCACGUCAUGGAAGCCGAAAACACUUGAAGUCCGUGAGCUAACCCGCAAGGGAGGCAGCGGCCGAGGGUGGGGUUGGUGACUGGGACGAAGUCGUAACAAGGUAGCUGUACCGGAAGGUGCGGCUGGAUCACCUCCUUU
Molecule: ribosomal RNA, 234 nt
Filed under: Chloroflexota bacterium
Lineage: Bacteria; Bacillati; Chloroflexota
Description: Chloroflexi bacterium partial 16S ribosomal RNA
Rfam family: Bacterial small subunit ribosomal RNA
Source: RNAcentral